UGAGUUUGAUCAUGGCUCAGAUUGAACGCUGGCGGCAGGCCUAACACAUGCAAGUCGAACGGUAACAUUUCUAGCUUGCUAGAAGGUGACGAGUGGCGGACGGGUGAGUAAUGCUUGGGAACUUGCCUUUGCGAGGGGGAUAACAGUUGGAAACGACUGCUAAUACCGCAUAAUGUCUUCGGACCAAACGGGGCUUCGGCUCCGGCGCAAAGAGAGGCCCAAGUGAGAUUAGCUAGUUGGUAAGGUAACGGCUUACCAAGGCGACGAUCUCUAGCUGUUCUGAGAGGAAGAUCAGCCACACUGGGACUGAGACACGGCCCAGACUCCUACGGGAGGCAGCAGUGGGGAAUAUUGCACAAUGGGGGAAACCCUGAUGCAGCCAUGCCGCGUGUGUGAGGAAGGCCUUCGGGUUGUAAAGCACUUUCAGUUGUGAGGAAAAGUUAGUAGUUAAUACCUGCUAGCCGUGACGUUAACAACUGAAGAAGCACCGGCUAACUCCGUGCCAGCAGCCGCGGUAAUACGGAGGGUGCGAGCGUUAAUCGGAAUUACUGGGCGUAAAGCGCACGCAGGCGGUUUGUUAAGCUAGAUGUGAAAGCCCCGGGCUCAACCCGGGAUGGUCAUUU
Molecule: ribosomal RNA, 623 nt
Filed under: uncultured Gammaproteobacteria bacterium
Lineage: Bacteria; Pseudomonadati; Pseudomonadota; Gammaproteobacteria
Description: bacterial SSU rRNA
Rfam family: Bacterial small subunit ribosomal RNA
Source: RNAcentral